UUUUUUUUAAUAUGUUGCAUUGCUUCUGUGACGGAAGGGCUCUAUUGAAAGUAGCUUUAUUAUUCUGACAGGUCUUGGCUUUGCUGUUUCUGUUGCUCUAACUGAUGGAGCACGAAGCGGUGUUGUUAGUUGUGUACAUCGUAUAGAUAUUGCUCUGAAUGAAGACCAAAUUGUUUUCUGUCUGUUUUGAUAAUGGGCAGACCUGUGUAUUUCACCUAUUUUCUUGUGAAAUGUUGAUAUCUGUUAGUUGUCAUAUGCACUAUCAGCACCCUUUCUUUCUCGAUUUGCAAUCAGUCCCUCGUCCGCUUGAGGUAGCAGUGAGUUUGCCUUGGCAACCAAAGGCAGGCAGGAUGCCUGCUCUCUUGGUAAGGACGCCAAUGCUUGCUCUGCAGGAAGCCAUGGCCUGAAGCUGAACAAGUCAAAUUAUGGAAGCACAUCAUUCGAUUCACGUGUCAUGCUGCGACGUUAAUCAUUUCCUUGAUCCAGCGUCACUCGGAGGAUGCAGGACGCGGGGCUCUGAAUAUGUUACUGAGAAAAAACCAACAGAUUUUAAUGGAUCCAAUCCGAUGACGUGGCCUGUUUUGAAUUAUUGAGAAAUAGUUUUUAACGAUCUGCUGUGAGCUGAUAUGUUUUUAGGGGAAAAAAAUUUUAGUAUAGCCUCCAAUAUCUCAUUCUGAGGUAGAAUUUUUUAGAGAACUCUUGAAGUUGCUUUAAUACAUAGUUUUGGAGAAGAACUUUUAAGAAUUCUCUAAGUUGCUCUUAGUGCUGGAUUGCUAUAAUUAAUCUGAACUCGAUUGGGAGGAUCUGGUAUUGUGGUUGUUGAUUGCCAAGAUUCGGAGGCAGGCAAGAUAGGGAAGGGGCACGGGGUUGUGGGACCCUGAAGGGUAUCUAUCCCAGGCCCAGUGUUGCUUGGUUUGUUUGCCGAGCCACACGUUGCCUUGCCGGCAAAAAAAAAAAAACAUGCAUGGCGUUUUUGUGUUUGGUAAUCGAAAAUUUCGUGGUGCUCCGGGUAACCCCGAAGGAAGUUAUCACUACACCACAACUCCAAAAUACCGUCGGACCUCCGUUGGUAAAAGCUGAAAAUAACCUAUGAACGGUCCGUUGGUAAAUGGUAGUGGUGAAACCUCCAUCGAUGAUUUCACAUGUCCGUCGGUAUUUAGUUUUACAUAGCAAACAUGCCCGUACGUUGCUACGGGUCUACAACUGAAGAUCUUGAAAUAUUAUCUAUAAAUAUAUUCAGAUCCUGUCUCAACGCGUGAACUUUUUAUAUGCAUUCUUGGCAUACUAUGUCUAUAUAGCAAUUUUUUUCUACAACAGUGCUCGUGGAGAUGUUGCAGUCACAAUAAAAAGUACUGCCAUAACUUGUCUUUUUAAGCUUAACUGAUGCACUUGUCAACGGAGGUGGAAUCUUAUUAUAUGAGCGAGGUUUGGUUUCAGGUUUAUGAUUUUUUUAAAUAAAAGGGUUAUGUAAAAUGACAUCAAGAAUAUAGCAAAGACAUUACCUUACUGUUCCACCUUAUUUUGUAUAUGAGCACUCAGAUCUUAUCAAAGGUGAAAUAAAGCUUAUGGCUGACAUCAUGUGAGCGAGAGCUAGUUUAGAAAUUUUAGGCGGGUUCAGUAAUGCAAAACUAACAUAGCAAGGGCACCGAACUUCUCAACAGUCCCAAGGGAUAUCCCAGGAAAGCAUAUAGUAUAUAAGGGACUAAGGAUUAACCAUGAGCAGCCGAGCUUCCUGGAAACACCCCGUAGUGGCAUACAAAGAUUAAAAGUGCUCAGAUAGCAUUUCGAAUAUUUGCAAGCUUUGGGAAUUACAUAUUCAUUGCUUAAUAAUUAGAUCUAAUACAGAAUGCAAUGGUUUACAUUACCUUGGUUGUACGAUUUCCAUGCUCUUAAUAUCCUGUGACAAUUGACAUUCAGAGAAUCAACACUGUAAAAUAAAAAUGAAAAAUGGUUCAAGUAGUCAUGAAGGAAGUAAAGCUAUGAACAUACUAUUAUGUAAAAUGUUUUACAGCAAUAAACUCAUUAUAUAUGCUCUCAAACUAUCUACCAAGUUUCAGAUCAGUAUUGUCCGGGUGCUUUAAUUUUAGGUUGCAACCUCAAAACCUACAAUUUAUUGAUUCAUAUGUUGUAUGUCGUAGCAUUUAAAUUUCACGUAGCCAUUUAUGCAUGGAUACAUGCAGAAAGUUUGUUCUUGAUGACUGUUUGAGCACACGUCUGUGGCCCAAAACAUUAGAAGAGCAGUAUUUGCAGUUCAGAAUUAAGAGAGCUAUUUGAUUUCUCUAAUAGUUGUUAUGAAAUUUUAAGUCCAUAUUCUACAUGAGAUUAAGACAACAUUAUUAUAUGGUUGCUUUGUAUCCGGCGAGACUAAGGAUAAGUAUAAUUAAUUAUGUUUAUUAACAGCAAGUAGUUAUCUCCGACUUGUACAGGCAGCCAUAUGCUUUUCCUAAUUAGAGAGACAUGUUUCCUUCAGCUGAGUUGCCAUGGAACCCAGUUGAAUGUUACCAUUUGACACGAAUUUGAGCAAUACUCGUUUCAACAAACUGAGUACCACAAAAGAAGCACAAUUCCUUGAGAAGUAAUUAAUAUAAAUGGUAAUUUAUACAGCACAGAAGAAUAGUUCUAGAGUUCUAGUCAUUUCUCUGUGAGUAAUGCUAGUAAUUGCUGUUUUGGUUAUGUCCAGCUGCCGGUAGGAAAUUGGUGGAUAUUGAAUUCAAAUGAAUAUAUAUUGUUGAUAGAUUAAUACCUGCGCGGGGGCAUAAUCAUGUACAAUAUUACAGGCUCUUGCUUCCGUUCUUGUUAUUAGGCAUUUCUACAAACAACUUGUGUGCAGUAGAGACAAUCUUGUCAGAGGGAGCAACGGCCAUAUGCACGGACAGAAGGGAGAGCUGCGGAGGCUGCUACGGACGUCGGCGGCCAGAACGCGUCUGUGGUUGAGUCUGUGGUUGAGACGCUGCGCGGCCUCGCUGCCGCUGGCCCCGCCCGCCCCGUGCUCCAGGCGUUGUAGCCGCCAAUACAAUAUUACAGGCUCUUGCUUCCGUUCUUGUUAUUAGGCAUUUCUACAAACAACUUGUGUGCAGUAGAGACAGCUCGUCGGAGGGAGCAGCGGCCACAUGCACGGACAGAAGGGAGAGCUGCAGAGGCUGCUACGGCCGUGGGCGGCGAGAGUGCGUAUGUGGUUGAGGCGCUGCGCGGCCGCAUUGCCGCUGGCCCCGCCCGCCCCGUGCUCCAAGCGCUAUGGCCGCCAAGCAGGCCGCCACCUCCAGUGGCGGGGUACACCAUCCGGGGACCACGCCCCCGCUGGCCGCAGGUCCCAACCGCACCGCUCGGGACAUCACCCCUGCCGGUCUGGGGAGCUCGCCCCCGCCGGCUCCGGGCACCGGCCGCACUGCCAGGGGACUCCCUCCCUCCAAUCGCUGCCCGCUGCUGCUCGACGCCGCCCCUGCCUCGCCUCCCGCCAGCACCCCGCCUCCAGCGCCUCAUUCGUCGAGGUGAGGAAGGGAGAGGACCUCCCUUCACAUUCUCCCUUCUCCGCCUGGGUAGGGGCAUGGGGGGGGGGGGCGGCGGUAGCAGAGGCGACACGCCCAGGGUAGGAGGAAGGUGCGGCACGGGGAGGAGAGGGGAUCGGCUGGCCUCUCCGUUGAGGCUCGGGGCAGGGUUCGGGGGCACGGAUGAGGGAGCGCAGGCGGCGGACGGGAGGGAGAGAGACGGAGGAAAGGAGAAGCUUUUUCCCCUUUAACCCCUUCCUUUCUCUCCUUUUUCCACUCGAGCCUCCCCUCUUUAGAAUAUGGACUAUGGGUUGAUUACUAAAAAUUUGAGGGAUUUUUUUUGCAAAAUGACCAUGACGGAUGAACAAAAUUAGCUUACUUGCUUUAAUAAGUACUAGCAAAAUGCCCGCGCGUUGUUACGGUAAAAAAUCUAUUGUAUUUUCCAAACUAAUGAUAUUUUAUACCAACACAAAUACUGCCAUAUCUUUUUUUUCUUUUCGAUUCCCCAUAACAACUAUAUCCAACAUUUUCUAAGUUUAAGAAGUUGGUUACCACGCAUCAAUUCUAACGUCCAAGAGCGAAAACAUAUCAAAUUCACCUUUAAACAAUACUCCUAUCAAUCAUAUUGUUUGCUUGAUAUUUUCACCAUUACCCAAAGAAUGAGUCACCCCAGCCAUCUGAUUGUGCAAUUUAAGCAGAAAUGCCACACACGGCAAGAACUCCACGGCUCUACUUGAACAUACUUCACCGCAGGGGAUAUUAUAUAUAGACUGUAACAGAAUAGAAUAGCUUAAUGUAGAAGAGCCAGCACAAUGCAGCAACUGUCAACUGGGGAUAUUUAGGGCUAUAACAUUGUCAACUGGGGAUAUUUAGGGCUAUAAAUUGCUAGUAUGGCUGUAAAGUAGAUUUCCAUGGUAGAUGCUAGAUAACAGCCCACCAUAUGCACAAGGAUGGUCAUUUAUUAAAGCUGCCAGAUUAAAAGAUUGGAUGAUCACCAAUUCAAAAAAAGAAAGAAAGAAAAAGAAGACAGAUUGGAUGAUGGUCUUAAAUGAUUUGACUACGCAAACCCAAUUUAGUAUUUCUGCACAUCAGGUGCAUUCCUCAUGCUGCAUCUUUUGAUCUGUGCCCUUGAAUUUCAGGUAAGGUAGCGCUUCACGUAUUACCUGCUCAAGAAUUGUAAAGAAAAAAAAUACUCGCAAACACAAAACUAUUUUAAAUUUGAAGUAAGCAUCUCAGAUUUCCAUGUUCGUCAGUACAAUUUUCAUGUGUUUCUGAUACAAAGUGCAUUUGUAUGCCUGCCUGAAAUGCAAUCUUGAGAUCGUGCAACCCUCGUUAAAAAAAAAGAGAUCGUGCAACCGUAGUUUCAAUGUGAUCUGAAAGAAUUUUCUGCACAUUAUAUUAGUUAGCGCGGGGCAGCAGCAGCUAGCGGGGCACCCUACUCCGGCCUCCGCCCGCGCCCUCGCCCCUCGCCCUUUGCUAAGAAAGGAGAAGUUCUUUACCGUUUAACCCCCUCUCUUCUCUCCUUUUAUCACCCGAACCCCUUUCUCUUUAGAAUAUGGACUGCAGGUUGAUUUCUAAAAACUUCAGGAGCUUUUUUGCAAAAUAGGACAACGGACGGAAAAAAUAUGGCAGAGACACUACUUGCUUUAAUAAUAGGUAUAGAUAUAGAUAUAGAUAUAGAUAUAGAUAUAGAUAUAGACUAGCAGAAAUGCCCGUGCGUUGCUACGGGUCAUUACUUACUCUCACAUUAUUAUACAUUUGUUCAUAAUAUGUUACCUUCGCUUCACAAUAUGGUAGCAUGUUGCUACUUAUGCUCAAGUACUCCAUACUCAUCGAAAGGUUUGCGAUGGAGCCAGGAAUCACAUCUCCCAACUUGUUUCCAGCCAGGCCAAUGACCUUCAGAUACAAGUACCGACUUGCCCUCGUGUGCUGGAAUCCUCUCCCAGCAGCUCCGUGCACGGUCCCAUUGCUCCCGUACUGGGUAGUGCCCGUCAAUGCUGAAAUUGGCAGCAUUCUUCUGCCACUGCUUGUACAGAACACCGUACCUCUCCUUCCCUUCAUUCUUUAGCAGUCCCUGGAAAUCAGAAUCACCAGCUCGUCGCACACAGGCAUUUCCACAAGCACCUGAUAAGCAUUUAUGGAGGAAUCAGCAAGCUAACGGAAUUGAAUUGGGGCAAGCAUUCCCACAAACGCAAUGGCAGCACUGCAGAGACUACACAGUAGAAGAGAUAAUUACCAGUUCCCUAACUCAUUCAUGAGUUCAUCAUCAUCAUGCAAUUGUCAAGUGCAGUUAUUUGGUCCUCCAUAUAAUUUCAGCAGGAUAAUUUACCAUAUUCUCCACUGCAAAGGUAUGCAUAGUAAUAAGGAACAGCACAUCAAAAGUUACUGCUUUCCCUAACCAUUCUCUGUUCAGCAGAGGUAUGUUCCCCAGCACACUUUUCAUAAAUGUCACAUAUAACCUUAAGGGUGUCAGCUAGCUUCAUGUGUCCACCACACUCCUCAAACUCACAUGCUACGGGACUCAAUGGAUGCCUUCUCUCCACCCUCAAAUCAAGCAUGUAGUUAACCAGAUUGGUGGCUUCAUCAAACAACAAGCUUGCAAAUAAAAAAAUUACUCUGAAGACACUGAAAAUCAUAGAACAGAAUACUUCAAUAGGCUGAUGUGCCUACAAGCCAUAGACUUCAAGUUUAUUGGCAGACAAAUGGUUAAGGUUUUACCUGCCCUAAAAUAGAUUAAACAACCAUACACUAUUUACAGCAGUUAAAACCUGAACCUUGAAUGCUAUGGAUGUUGAACCAUAUUAGCAAAACACAAGAAUGAGUUAACGAUAUAGCAAAAGACAUGUUAAGGAUGAAACAAUUGUAUGCAUACAAAAGUGCAAAUUCUCAAAAGACAUAUUAAGGAUGAAACAAUUGUAUGCAUACAGAAGUGCAAAUUCUCAUCAGUAAAAUACAGUGCCUUAAACUUCAUUUUAAGCUCAAGAAUGCUACUUGAGCCAAGAUCUGUGCUACUGGGCAUCAGCAGGCAGCUGUUCUGCACCGCUGUGGCUGAAACUAAGAACACUGUCCCCGCAGAAUGCACUACAAACAAAACACAAGUUACAAUCCUAGAGUUGAGCAAAGCUUCCUGCUAUUAUAAGUUGAUAGAAAGCUUCUAUGAUCCUUCUAUAUACUGCUCGAUCAGAUAUAUGUUGCUCCCAGACCUGAAAAUAAUCAACCGACUAUGAGUAAUGCAACUCUAGAGGAAACUGAUCACUGUUCAGAACAUAGACAAUUCCCCAAAGAUGAGUGCCAGAAAAGACCAUUACUCCAUCACCAUUACGAAGGAAACAACAAUUACCACCCAAAUAUGAAACGUAUAGGAAGAUAUCAGCAAAUACUACAUAUCACAAGAGCUCUGCCUGUGCCGCACCAGCACCACCCACUUCGCCACCCGCAGCGGCGGGAGCGAUGAGCCUGGGCGAGGGGCAGUGGACCUCUCCAGAUCAUGCACGCUCGAGCAGCGGAUAUAGCAUCGGAGGGUACGCCGCCGGCCAGCGGCUGCUAGCGACGGCGGCUGCGCUGGCAUAAGAGCAUGGUGGGAUUUUUGUUCCUGACGGUCCUGUUCUGAAAUCUGAAGCUGCCGUGGCGGGGGAGAUCCAGGCGGCCGCAGAUGGGGAAUUGCAGUCAACGACCUCCGGGCAGCGGCCGCAGCGGGGAAGAUCCGGGCGGCUGCGGAUGGGGGAGCUCCAGGCGGGCGGGCGGGUGGCUCGGCCUGGUGUAGAGGGGGGAGAGGUGAAGACAGUGGUGGAGCCAGUCCAUUGCCGGGCCCUGUGGGAGCUCUGGCCAAUCCACUGCCGGGCGGCGCCGGGCCCAGAGCCAUACGGCCGGACGGAGUGCGGCGGAUCUCGAUCCCUCGAGGGAGGGGGACGAGGGAGCUAAGCUCGUUUCCCUUUAAUCCCUCGCUUUCCUCUUUUUUCCACCCAAACCCCCCUAUAUUCAGAAUUGGACUGCGGGUUGAUUUCAUGAAAGUCUGAGGGGUUUUUUUGCAAAAUGAGCGCGAUGGAUGAAAUUGCUGGUAGAGACGUUUCUCGCUUUAAUAAUAGGUAUAGAUAUAGAUAUAGAUAUAGAUUAGCCUUUGGACAGUCCGUGGGUGUUCAGCCUAUGGGUCGAACCGUCCGUCGAUGAAGGGUUUAGGCCCGGCGCACGAAAAAAAGCCCGCUUGCGAAAAAAUAAACAAAGGCCCAGCCACAACUAGAAAGGAACCCUCCUCUCUCCCGCCUGGCCCGCGCGCUUCGCCCGUCGCACGCCACGCAAAAUUUCGCCAAAUCCCUUCCGCCCAAAUCCCCUACCGCGUGCCGUCCCUACUCCCUGCGCCUUCUCAUUUGUGCCGCGCCGCGCCUCCUCUCCUCCCCUCCGCCUCAUUCUGCGCCGCCGCAUCCAGCCACCACCCCUUCUCCCCUCAGUUUGAGCCACCGCAUCCACCCACCAUCCCUUCUCAAUCCGUCCCCAGCAGCACGCCUUCGUGUCGACGGCCACCGCAUCUGGAGUGUGCGGCUUGUCCCCCCGCUGAUGUCAUCGCGGUGGGGCACCUGCUGACGGCGACGCUUCGCUCCGCCUUCCGCUGUGGGCUGACGACGCUCCUCCCGUGGUUUGUGCCGCUGCUUUUCUCGUGCUCCGCCUUCAAGCUUUAGCACUCAAUUGAUUGGCAGUGAAGUUAUUUUCAUCGUGCUCCCUUUCUUUAGCAGAUCCGCUGCUUGUCCCCAUCCACUGCAGCGUCCUCGACUGCUCUGACUGCAGUUGUCUUCCCUUUCUUUACCAGACUUUAUGCCCUUUCGUUACCUGCGCCAUGUGUGGUGUUCAGUAUUUCAAAGCUAAGCUCAUUUUGUAUGCCUGAAUAGAAAAAAGGUGGCUCAGACUUAUUGUAUGCUGAAGAAGGAUGUGUGUCCUCCAUCUCAUAUCGUGUCCCAUGUGAUUUUGUCUUUAGUAGUGUUUUCUACAUGUAUAUAAUUUUUUCUUAAGACCUGUACUAGUGGAGGAAACAUUUCCUCCUAUACAGAUAUGACAUAAAGGGAAGUUUGUAUUACUGUUUUGUAGACCGGGAAAGCCCGGUACAUUUACUUUGAUCUUAGCGCUUCCGCAUCCCUUGUCAUUUCAAAAUUCAAAACGGACCCAUUACACAUGUCAUACUUUAUACCAUGCCCACAUCUAAUUUUAGGAGGUGAAAUUGGACUUCUAGUGACUUACAAAACAAUAGUAGAGAAAUGACCUUCGAUCUUUAACAAAAAUCUCGGAACGAUUUGGACUCAGGACUAAAGAGACUUUAAUCCCAGAUCUAAAUUUCGUAGUCCGUAUGGACGUAUUUAUUCCCGGUAUGUAACACCAAUGGAUUACGUUUAGUCCCGUUGGUGUUACAAACCGGGACUAAAUACGUCUCCAUGGGUGACUACAAAAGGAUAGUAUUCCCUAAUCAAUCAGAUGUGCUGUGUAGAUGAGAUGGCAAGAAAGCUACACGCGUGUGUGGGAGCUACCCAUGAAUUUCUAAUAUUUUUUGACGUAAAAUCAUUUAGUCCCAGUUGGAUUUUCGAGAUCUAUGGCUCUCCAACGGGACUAAAACCACUUUUUCUACCAGUGCAAUUUGCGCAAAAUAGGUGAAGCUAAAGCCAAAAUAACCUCUACAAAAUAGGGCAUUAAUAAGAUAUGGAUUUGACUCUGAUAUCUUGUAUGAAGUGCACAUAAUGGUACUGCACAUGAUAUCAUGAAGCCAACACUAAUAUAUAAAUUAAGAUCAUCAAUAAUAUACACCGUAGUACUUCACAUGAUGUACCAUUAGACACACAUGUUCAUCGUGAAGAGCAACAUCAGAACAAAUAAAAUAAAAUUUCAGGGUGCUAGUUUGGUUAACAAAACAAAUACAUUCGAGGGAAAAGUUGCCAACAAUAGUCAUCAUCAAAAGCAAAAGACUGUCAUGCAUGUGGACAGUAGUAUAUAUAGAAUUAAAAAAAAUUGAGUCGCAAAUAUUGAAAUAAGAUGCGCUGAACUUUGGUACAGCACAUAUUAACUUCACAACUUACCAAUCCGAUGGCCCACCAAACUCUUAGUUUUCUACAUCUAAACUCUGGUUCCCAUAAUACGUUAGAGAAUUGGCAAGGCACACUAAAAAAUGAUAAAUCUUUUCUACCACUUCACCUAGGAUAUUGUGCAAGAAGGGAAUCAUAAAUUGUGACCAUUAGAUAAACACGGGUCUUCCGUCUUGAGGAGAAAGGAGUCAUAUGCGGUGAUGCUAUCUAAAAAAGUAUAUCACUAAAUAUUAUAAAAAUCUUUUUGGACCAUGUGGUACAAGUAAUGUAUUCCAUGGAUGAGUCACGUAGGUGAUAUCCCUCAGGUUUUAACUGAGGAAAAUGAUCUGCUCAUUGCAAAUUUUACCGAAUAGGAAGUAACGGAAGCAAUUUUUCAAAUGGAGCGUAACAAAGCUCCGGAUCCGGAUGGUUUUCCUUCAGAGUUCUAUCAAGGCCUCUGGCACAUUAUCAAGGAUGAUUGGAUGGCUUUAUUUGAGGAAUUUCACCAUGGGACCCUACCUCUCAUAGCUUAAACUUUGGUACAAUAAUUUUACUACCAAAAAGUAGUGAAGCAAGGCAGAUCCAGCAAUAUAGACCGAUAUGUUUGUUGAACGUCAGUUUUAAGAUCUUUACUAAGGUGGCCACCAACAGGAUAGCAAAGGUAGCUCAUAAGAUAAUUACACCUUCUCAGACUAAAUGUCUUCCAUGAAGAAACAUACUGGAGGGGGCAGUUAUACUACAUGAAACUAUACAUGAGCUACAUAUGAGAAAGCAAGAUGGAGUCAUUUCUAAAAUUAAUUUUGAGAAAGCUUACGAUAAAGUGAAGUGAGAAUUCUUGAAACAAAUAUUAUGAAUGAAGGGUUUUUCUGAAACAUGGUGCAAAUGGGUAGAGGCCUUCACCCAAGGGGGGAAUGUGGGGAAUAAGGUGAAUGAACAAAUGGGAUCAUAUUUCCAAACUAUAAAGGGGCUGUGACAAGGUGACCCAUUAUCGCCAAUACUAUUCAAUAUAGGGGUUGGCAUGUUGGCUAUCAUCAUUGCCAGGGCUAAGGAUGUAGGGCAAGUAAAGGGAGUAGUCCCAUAUCUAGUAGAGGACGGUUUGUCUAUGCAAUAUGCAGAUGACACUACGAUUUCUAUGGACCAUGCUAAUGACAAAGCAAGGAACAUGAAAUUAUGUUAUGUGUCUUUGAAAAAUUAUUUGGGUUAAAAAUUAAUUUUCACAAGAGUGAAGUCUUUUGCUUUGGGCAAGAAAAACAACAUGAACCAGAAUACUCUAGGCUGUUCGGUUGUAAGUUGGGAACAUAUCCCUUUUGCUACCUUGGCAUCCCAAUGCAUUUUAGGAAAUUGAGUAACAAGGAGUGGAAGUUUAUCGAGAAAAGAUUUGAAAAGAGACUAAGUGGGUGGAAGGGUAAGUUGUUAUCUGGUAGACUGGUCCUCAUUAAUUUAGUUUUAUCUAGUUUGCCGAUGUUCAUGCUCUCUUUUUUAGGUCCCGAGGGGAGUUCUUUAGAAGAUGGAGUAUUAUAGAUCAAGAUUUUUUUGGCAAAACGAUCAACAUAAGAAGAAAUAUAGACUAAUUAAAUGGAAUAUUUUGUGCCAACCAAAAGAACAAGGUGGUUUGGGUAUACAAAAUCUGGAUAUACAAAAUAAAUGCCUACUUAGUAAGUGGCUAUUUAAGCUGUGCAUUGAGGAUGGGAUUUGGUAGGAAUUAUUAAGAAAUAAGUACCUAAAGAACAAGAUAUUAGACCAAGUUAUGAAAAAACCAGGAGACUCGCAUUUCUGGAUGAGCCUAAUGGGUAUGAAGGACCAGUUCGUUAGGAUGGGCAGUUUUAAAUUGCAAGAAGGAACACAAAUAAGAUUCUAGGAGGACAUAUGGCUGGGUAACCAGACAUUGAGAUCCCAAUAUCCAUCCUGUAUAAUAUCGUUCGUAGAAGAUAGGCUACAGUUGAGGAAGUAUUUAGUUCAUCGCCUCUAAACAUCUCAUUUCGAAGAGCUUUAGUCGGAGAUAAAUUAAGAGAUCGGCAUAACUUGGUAGCAAGACUUUUGAAUGUUAACUUACAGGAAGGUAGAGAUACUUUUGUUUGGUCCCUUCAAGCUAACAGAUUCUUUUCGGUGAGGUCCAUGUAUAAGCAUAUGAUUAAUAGUGGGAUAAGAGUCAUUGAGGAAAUUUGGCGUACAAAGUUACCUAUGAAGAUUAAAAUCUUUAUGUGGUACUUGAAAAGGGGUAGUCCUUACAAAAGACAAUCUAGCUAAGAGAAAUUGGAAUGGUAGCAAGAUCCGUAGCUUUUAUUGUGCGGAAGAGACUAUCCAUCAUCUUUUUUUUUGAGUGUUCAUACGCCAGAUUACUGUAGCGUGUGGUAUAUGGAAUUGCACCACCAUUGAACUUUGAGGAUUUGUUCCAUCAAUUGUUACAACAGGCGGGGCAAAAACAAAACUCACAUUUAUUGACAGGGGUAGCGGCUUUGUGUUGGGCAAUUUGGCUCACAUGAAAUGAUGUUGCUUUUGAUAAAUGCCAACAAAAUCUUUUUAUGUAGGUUCUUUUGAGGGGAAUGCAUUGGCUUUGGCAGUGGGCGCUAUCGCAGUGCAGUGAUGAGAUAAAGGAGAUGAUGAUCCAGGCAUGCCAAUCACUGGAGGCAUCGACUCUUCGCUUUUUUACUUCCCAUGGAUGGACAUUUAGUUUACGAAUUGGCUUGAUAUUUUGGUGCUCUAUUUAAAUCUUAUGUGGUGGUGCGUGUAGUGUUGGUCUACUACUACGUGUACUAAAGUGUGGACUGAUUUUCUUUUAUUAAAAGGAUGAAGUCAGAACUCUUUCCAUUAUUAAAAACAAAUAGACAGUAGUGCAACCAAACAGAGUCGAAGUCUGCCAGACUAGAGUACCAGGUGUGGCACCCAUUACCCAUGGAUGGUUUUAUGAGGGACGAAGAAGAGCCAAAUGCAUCACUUGUACAGAGUUUGCUCCCGGCUCCAAGUUGAUGAAAUGAUCAUACAGCUCGAUCAGGGUAUGAUUGAGACAUGAGAUGCUGAUAUAAAUUUGGCGCCGAUUUUGCAGAUGGAAAAAACAUAAUGCCACCCGUCGACUCCACAUGUGCAAUCAAUAAUUGGCAGAACAGUAGUUUGUUUCAAGCAAGUCCGUUACCUGCACUGAACAAGAAACAGGUACUAAUUAAAAUGCAGUGAGAAACCUCUGAAGAAGCAGGCUCUAUGUAUGAAUCCCACUGUCCGUGGGAGCGUACGUACGUACGCACCUGCUAAAAAGGGGUUACGAUUAAUGAAAAUAAUACGUCAAACAUGUAGCAACGUACAUAACUUUCAGGUUAUUUUGUAGUAUCAACUCCUAGAGCAUAUAUGUACUCAGUUACUAUCUAUAGAAGUCUUACGUGCCAGUAUGCCACCAAUAGAUGAACUUUGGAGAGCCUCCCUAAUAACUAAUUAUAGCAUUAUAUAUAAAAUUAAUAUAGUCCCACAUGUAUAUAUAAUUAUAUAUUAUAGGGUAGGACUAGUUUCUACUUCAAUAUGCUAUGGACCAAGCCACCAUGUACUUAUAUAUAUGUAAACAGUCCAUGAGAGAUCAUCCAUCCCAUUCACAGAUGAAAGGAAUCGGUGAUUGUAGCCUAUGAAGGGGAACGGGUGAAUAAGACAAACUUAAAUACCUUAGCCUAUGAUUUCCACUAAUUUGCAUAAAAUAUAAAUAAGAUCAUGCUGUCUAGAUGUGCAUCUAUGGUUGAUCUAGUGAACCUUCCCACCCAUAAAGAGUUUUGGAAUAUAAACCAAUCCUAUCAAGAACUACACUAAGAAAGUAAAGACACUCAAGUUGCCAGUAUGAAAUGCAGAAAUGUAAAGGAGUGGGUUUGGAAGGAUACAAACUCAGUACGGCAAUUUAUCCCAUGGUACCGGUAGGCAAAAUCCACCCUAGUCCAUGUUGGAGCUCUAACAAGUAUAUACUUCUAGCCACCAAGUCUCUCCCGGUCAAGAUCUUCGACUCGCCCCAAAGAUUCUCAUGAAGUGAGAAGCUUACCACAAAGGCAAGGCUCACCACUCACUCUCUUCCAGUCACCUUGACGUCAUCUCCACUAGGGAGCUUCUUCAUGAAGGGGUCUCCUUGUUCCCCGCACAUAGUCAUCAUCACUGUUCCAUACCAAGCCGGAGCGUCGAUGACUUGCCAGUGAGCCACAAAGGCCCCAAGUUACUGAUACACCAAGCUUACAAUGAUCGUUCACAAGGUAGCAAUUUCUUGCAUUCACUCUCUCCAAGCCUAUCCUAGAACCAAACAAUCUUCUAAGCUUGCUAAGCCUUGGAUUAUCACUUUUGCACUUUUGGUGGCAUGGAUAUAUUCUUGAUCAGUAUUAUUCUUCAAUGAUGGACACUACAACAACUUCAAAUGGGUGAGUAGAGGGGUUAUAAAUGGCCCAAUAGGCUCAAGGAGCCGUUGCUCCAAAGGCUAGCUGAAACUGUGGGCAUUGGAUGAUCCGAUUGUCACCUAGCCAGCCAGCUAGCUAUCAGAUCAUCCGGUGCCCUUUUCUGACGCACACAGCCAUUAGACCAGCUGCCCAAAAUUACUCCGACGCUUCAUGUGAUGGGGCAUUGGAUCAUCCGACGCUUUAUCCAAUGGCACCAUCGGAUCAUCCGGUGCUUAAGAGUUUUUGCGUGAAACUCUUUGGAUGAUAUCAAAGUAAAUACACUUAGUCUGAUGGUCACUGGCAUCAAAGUAAAUACGCUUAGUCCGAUGGUCACUUCAACAUAGGCGUCAGAUCAUCCGGUGCUUCAUUCUUCCAAACCUUAUCUUCACCGAUUCAUCCGACGCUAACAAAUUAUAAGCCAUCGGAACAUCCAAUGUUCUUCUCCAUGUACAACCAUGCCCACCGUAGUCAUCGGAUGAUCCGAUGCAUUUAUCCGAUACCCAUCGGAUCACCCGGUGCUCUUCUACGCAUUGUACCAUUGACUUCGGUGCUUGUUGCGGUGCACCGUCGGAUCAUCCGGUGCUAUGUAUUUUUCCAAUUUGAAUACUGCCACUUCAAUACCAUCACUUAAACAUACCCACUCCUUUGGCUAUCACUUGGAUCCCCUCACUUGAAUACCAUGACUUGAAUGCCGUGACUUGAAUACCAUAGAAUAAUUCUAAAUACCAUGGCUUGGACACUUGAAUAACGUUAUUUGGAUCUUGCAUGGUUUGAUUUGCAUCCUUGGAACUUACAAAACCUACAAGGUAUAUGCUUGACAAACUAUUAGUCCCAAUGACUAUGUUGUCACUCGCUCAAUCAACAAAACCACAAAUAUGGUUAAUGAGGCAAUGUUUCUUUCAACAGUAUAUUCAUAUUCUCUCUGAAACAUGCUUUGUGGGGAUCUAAACGGAACAAAAAAAAAACUUUCUUCGCUCAUGAAAGUUCUUGGCGGUCGUUCAGGAAAGACAAACAUAUUCAACCGUAGAUGUUUGCAUUGCAAUUGUUCAAUUCCAAGAAAAGUUAGAAAUACACUGUACACUUUUUACUUCGCACUCAAAGUGUACAAUUACAUUAUAGUAUAAUUUGAAUAUACAAAGGAACACCUGAAUCUUACAUAUGACACAUAUCCCAACACACAAAGAAGUAUACUCACUCGAUGUAUAAGAAAUAUAGCUGUACUUUUAUUCUGUGGAAACUGAAGAACUUUGCUUCAAAUCACGCAAAACCAUGCAUCCAAACUCGUAGGAAUGUCCAUCACUUAAUUAGCACAUCCUUCAACUCAGUUCUUGGCCGGAGGGUGGUAGAUCGGAGUCGGGGACCCAUACGUGGGCGUGGGUGAACUGUAUUUAGGCGUUGGGGGGUGGUAUUCUGGCUGAGGUUUGGGCUCCGGCUUUGGCUUAGGAGGCACUGGUUUCUUGUGGAAGUGGUCAAAGAAGUGGUGGUGCUCAUGAUCCUUGUGGAAGUGGUCAAGCCAGUGCUUCUUGUCGAACAAGUCUUUAGCAGGAGGAUGGUAGAUUGGAGUAGGAGACCCAUAUGUAG
This 15495-nucleotide long non-coding RNA is filed under the name Setaria viridis. RNAcentral describes it as "long non-coding RNA (SVIR_LNC010905)". The record is from RNAcentral. Lineage: Eukaryota; Viridiplantae; Streptophyta; Magnoliopsida; Poales; Poaceae.